RNAcentral lists this ribosomal RNA (526 nucleotides) under uncultured bacterium. RNAcentral's name for it is "partial 16S ribosomal RNA". The record is from RNAcentral.
GUAGUUAGCCGGGGCUUCCUCCUUGGCUACCGUCAUUUGUUUCGUCACCAAGGACAGAGGUUUACAACCCGAAAGCCUUCUUCCCUCACGCGGCGUUGCUGGGUCAGGCUUGCGCCCAUUGCCCAAUAUUCCCCACUGCUGCCUCCCGUAGGAGUCUGGACCGUGUCUCAGUUCCAGUGUGGCCGAUCAGCCUCUCAGCUCGGCUACCCAUCGUCGACUUGGUGGGCCGUUACCCCGCCAACUAUCUAAUGGGACGCGAGCCCCUCUCAAAGCGGAUUGCUCCUUUGACCCCUGAGCCAUGUGACUCUGUGGUCUCAUGCGGUAUUAGUGCACCUUUCGGUGCGUUAUCCCCCUGUAAGAGACAGGUUGCUCACGCGUUACUCACCCGUCCGCCGCUAGAAUACACUUCGUAUUGCUACUCAACGUAUCCCCGCUCGACUUGCAUGUGUUAGGCACGCCGCCAGCGUUCGUCCUGAGCCAGAUNAACAACUCGACUACGAGACGGCGGUCGCGACGACGGCGACAG